RNAcentral lists this ribosomal RNA (253 nucleotides) under uncultured bacterium. RNAcentral describes it as "partial 16S ribosomal RNA". It matches the Rfam family "Bacterial small subunit ribosomal RNA", at positions 524 to 776 of the family's 1533-position model. The record is from RNAcentral.
GACAGAGGGGGCAAGCGUUGCUCGGAAUUACUGGGCGUAAAGGGCGCGUAGGCGGGAUGGCAAGUCGGUCGUGAAAUCCCUCGGCUCAACCGAGGAACGUCGAUCGAUACUGCUGUUCUUGAGGAUUGCAGAGGAGACUGGAAUUCCCGGUGUAGCGGUGAAAUGUGUAGAUAUCAGGAGGAACACCUGCGGUGUAGACGGCUUACUGGACCAUCACUGACGCUGAGGCACGAAAGCGUGGGUAGCAAACAGG